Molecule: long non-coding RNA, 343 nt
Organism: Lutra lutra (Eurasian river otter)
Lineage: Eukaryota; Metazoa; Chordata; Mammalia; Carnivora; Mustelidae
Exons: 3
Source: RefSeq, a predicted model, not a curated record
CAGACUUUAAUAAUGUUAUGGUGGGUUUGAAGAUAAAAGAUACUGUGAAGUCAAUCAGGCUGAGGUGUUGCAGAAAAGGAUAUGUGGGAGUCAAGACACAAGCAUGGUGAAGAAUUUGAUGCCAUGUUUCAAACCUUGUCUGAUGUCGCAUACUAUGUUUUUCUCGUUAAGCCCCACACAGCCGCAAAAGUCUCAAUUUCUUCAGCCAAAGUUGUUUUAAUAGAGCCCAAAAUCUUCCAGAGAACCUGAAUUCCUUCUGUAUUCCUGAAUGUAUUCAUGAACCAGCACAUGGUUCUGUGCUGAGAGAGAAGAAAGCUAAACCCAGAAACCUAGUCCCCAAAGG